GGAGCAAUACUCAAGUGGCCGAAGAGGCGCCCCUGCUAAGGGUGUAGGUCGGGGAACCGGCGCGAGAGUUCGAAUCUCUCUUGCUCCGCCA
Molecule: transfer RNA, 91 nt
Filed under: Bacilli bacterium
Lineage: Bacteria; Bacillati; Bacillota; Bacilli
Also listed under: 1 other name
Description: tRNA-Ser
Rfam family: tRNA
About the family: Transfer RNA (tRNA) molecules are approximately 80 nucleotides in length. Their secondary structure includes four short double-helical elements and three loops (D, anti-codon, and T loops).
Source: RNAcentral